GUGUGAUGCUUUCGAGACAUGUCCUAAAAGGCAAAAGCAAAGCCAUGACUUCGGUGACUGAGAAGACACUUCUUGAUGUGGAGUCAGUGGACAUCAGCAGUCAUGACGUGGGCCAGAAUGAACAGGACAGCUGCUCCCAGGCACAUGGGGAGAGAGGAGAUGGACCCCUGGGAGAGCCCUCACUGUGGAACUGGGAGCACUGGAAAACCCUCAGGAGUUGCCCAGGAGAUGGCCUCAUGAAUUGAUGUUUCCAGCAUCACUGCUCAGUGGGUGACAAAUGGGGACGCAUCCCCACCAG
Long non-coding RNA from Lepidothrix coronata (blue-crowned manakin), 298 nucleotides. RefSeq lists it as uncharacterized. The transcript has 3 exons. The record is from RefSeq and is a predicted model, not a curated record. NCBI's taxonomy places the organism in Eukaryota, Metazoa, Chordata, Aves, Passeriformes, Pipridae.